RNAcentral lists this long non-coding RNA (402 nucleotides) under Androctonus crassicauda. Lineage: Eukaryota; Metazoa; Arthropoda; Arachnida; Scorpiones; Buthidae. The record is from RNAcentral.
GUUUAUAAUUAUAUUUUUCGAAAUGAAGAAGUAUAUAAGUCAACAUGGUUCACAUUUGACAGUUUACAUUUUUACUAGAUAAAGAUACUCCUCGCAGGAGUAGAAACACGGCAAUUACCUUAUUAUUAAUCUAAAAUGUUUAUUCAUACUGAUCUUGCCAUGGAAGACGCCCUUCUUCCAUACAAUAUUCCUUUAACUCUUCUCUUAUUUGAAUGGGCAUUCACAGGCGAUUUGCGUGGAAUAAGUUUAACAGGAAGAAGAGAUGUCAUUUGGUCGUUAUUUGCCCGUCUCCACGUUCCUUCAAUAUAUUCGUUCUUUUCUAUGUUAUAUAUAAUGCGUACAAUUCUUUUCUAUGUUAUAUAACAUAAUAAUAAUAAUAAAACUAAAAUGUCCUACUGCUAC